CCUGAUGACAAUAGCAGUCUGGAACCACUCCUUCCCAUCCCGAACAGGACAGUGAAACGGACCAGCGCCAAUGAUAGUGCGGAUUCCCGUGUGAAAGUAGGUCAUCGUCAGGC
RNAcentral lists this ribosomal RNA (113 nucleotides) under Vandammella animalimorsus. Lineage: Bacteria; Pseudomonadati; Pseudomonadota; Betaproteobacteria; Burkholderiales; Comamonadaceae. The record is from RNAcentral.